GCUUAAGUGGGCUAGGACCUAUCCAAGUAUUACCAUGAAGGCCACUCUCUGGCUAUGAGCUGAGUGCAGCUUGGCAGUAUGGAAUCCACCAAGGCACCAUCUGCAACGUGGACGUCCUCUGUGGUAUGUGCUCCUCUCGUACAUCUCAGUCUGCAGUCCUGCGACCCUCUCCUUCCCAGUAACGGAGCAGCUAUGCACCCACUGAUUUCAGGAUAGAGAGAAGCCUCUUUCUUGCUCCGAUUGCAUCAGCCAGGUGCACUGCAGCCAGGGGUUUUCCCUUAAAACCUUAAAUCCUGUUCCAGCUAAACACAGCCACCAGCCUCCAAGCUCCUGCCUUUUUUUAUUAGCGUUUUAUUUUGAGGAGGGAGGGAGGAGAGGUGACGAUGAAGUGAACUCUCCAUAUUAAAUUGUUAAAUGCCUGGACGCUACUGGCCCGCUUGUAGGUGCAGCCUUGGGUGUUUACCACAGCACAGAAAUUCUGCUGAUCUGGUUGCUGGGACGCAACACAUGCUGCUCUGGGAGCACAGAGGCCUACGCAAGCGAGAAGUUGAGGCUCUAAGAAGCACUAAAUGUACUGGAAGAGAAGAACAAUCUGGUUGUCUUGUCCAGCACGCGUUUUAUAUGUCAGUGGGCUCCGGUCAGCACUUCUUUUCUGGAGUUCACUGAGACCUUCAGAGAGGCUUCUUGUUGUUCCCAGGCAAGUAUCUACUUCUACUCACUGUACCAAACUACUCUGAGAAGAUGAAACAAUGUUUUGAUUUGCUUUGCUUUGCUUGAGGACCUUCUGUCUUUUUCCACCUCUUCUAUAAUGAGCUCUAGAAGCGAAUGCCUCAUUAAUUCUAAAUGGGCAUGUCCGUGUAACCACUCAUCCCUGGUGGCCACAAUUAACCUCCAGCCAGCACAGACUAAUUUUGGCAUUUGGCUCCUUGAUUCUUGCCAUGUUUCCCAGAGAUGCCAGAGGGCUGCAGGAUUCUCACGGUGCCCGGUCACUCCGUACAGGUGUCUUCCUUCUGCCUCCGCCCUACCAGCCUGAAGCAUCCACACAGUAGGCGCCCACCUGCAACCCAUAUUACCAUGUCCUCCUCUGCUUCUCAACCCUUUGACCACAAGUAGUUUUCUUUGUGGGCUUAGCUAUUGAGAGGGGAAUCUGGCUCUCUCAGCAUCUUUGAAUCUUUUCCCACAACAUACAUGAGGAAGUAGCUGAUGAUUUAUUAAGAUCUAGUAAACCAUUAAUUCAGUCAUUCAGGACCCAGUGAAUUCCUUUUGCUGCAUCUUUUAUCAAGACACCUCUGCUCUAUUGACUGAAUGAUUACUUGUUUCUAAAAGUAACUGCAGGUUACCCAACAACCUGAUGUCUGUCUGAAGAAAGACAAAUGGCAGACUGAUGAAUCGAUCUAUCUACCGGUUAACAUGACUGUAAAACUAUUUUAAACAAUCAACCUGUUUCUGCUCCAGGAUUGCUGUGGGAAGCAGCUUUGGGAAAAAAAGAAAAGUACUUCUAAGAUGAAUGACAUAUGAGUGUACUUAUGCAGGCAAUAUCUAGACAAGGGCAACGAGAUGAAUGGGAAAUGCUGGACCAGAGUUUCUGUUCUGGCAUGGAGAUGCUUCUCUACUCCUUGCACGCAAAUUUGCCUUGCUGCCUCUUGAUGUUACGCUCAGAUAGUGC
This is a long non-coding RNA of Numida meleagris (helmeted guineafowl), 1666 nucleotides long. The record is from Ensembl. NCBI's taxonomy places the organism in Eukaryota, Metazoa, Chordata, Aves, Galliformes, Numididae.